This 329-nucleotide ribosomal RNA is filed under the name uncultured bacterium. RNAcentral describes it as "bacterial SSU rRNA". It matches the Rfam family "Bacterial small subunit ribosomal RNA", at positions 8 to 334 of the family's 1533-position model. The record is from RNAcentral.
AGAGUUCGAUUAUGGCUCAGGACAAACGCUGGCGGCACGCCUAACACAUGCAAGUCGAGCGGAGAUUAAGAGCUUGCUCUUAUGAUCAGCGGCGGACGGGUGAGUAACACGUGAGCAACCUGCCUUUCAGAGGGGGACAACAGUUGGAAACGACUGCUAAUACCGCAUAACAUGUUCGGAUGGCAUCGUCUGAACAUCAAAGGAGCAAUCCGCUGAAAGAUGGGCUCGCGUCUGAUUAGAUAGUUGGUGAGGUAACGGCUCACCAAGUCGACGAUCAGUAGCUGGACUGAGAGGUUGAUCGGCCACAUUGGGACUGAGACACGGCCCAG